Molecule: ribosomal RNA, 324 nt
Filed under: uncultured eukaryote
Lineage: Eukaryota
Description: partial 18S ribosomal RNA
Rfam family: Eukaryotic small subunit ribosomal RNA
Source: RNAcentral
CCCUUAGAUGUUCUGGGCUGCACGCGCGCUACACUGAUGUGAUCAACAAGUUUUUCCUAUGUCGAUAGACACGGGUAAUCUUUUGAACUCGCAUCGUGAUGGGGAUAGAUUAUUGUAAUUAUUAAUCUUCAACGAGGAAUUCCUAGUAGGUGCAAAUCAUCAGUUUGCAUCGAUUACGUCCCUGCCCUUUGUACACACCGCCCGUCGCUGCUACCGAUUGGUUGAUCUGGUGAAUUAUUCGGACUGCCGGCUGAAGGGGUUUCCUCAUCUGCCAGCGGAAAGUCUUGUUAACCCUAUCAACUAGAGGAAGCAGAAGUCGUAACA